GGCAGAGAUGAGAGGCCAGCUGCACCCUGAUUCCCUGCAGGAACAAGAGCAGGGAGGCUGGGUGGUGCACACAGGUAGAGUCCCUCUCCUGAGGUGUGCAGAGUGCCGCUCUGGGAGGAAAGCAAUGGGUCCAGGAACCAAGAGGCAUGAUCAGACCCUGGCACGUAAAUGUCGGGGAUUCUAGGAAACUUCCAGAUGGGCAGCUGCUUCUCUGCAGGUUUCUAUGGGCUUAGCUGCAGAAGAGGACAAAACACUAGUAACAGUCUUGUCUUAUCCAUUUUCUCCCUUCUUCUAAAGUUAAAAAACAACCUCAAAAUUCUCAAACUACAAUUUCAAAUGUACAAAACCAGGCAAUUAGGCUUGCAUAUUGUAAAGGGAAUCCCUGAGAAUUGAAAAAUACUAUGAACUCUCCAGUUACAACUCACAUUUAAGCACAAUGUUCAUUGAUGUGUGUCCAGCAUUUUGUACCUGCUUCCGAUUCUGCUGUCUUCCUCUACGAGAACACAGUGGCCGUCAAUCCAACGUGCCUCAGCUUGAAGCAGAAGAGCAGUUACUCCUGUGGCCCCUUGUCUCAGCUGAAUGACGCCGUUCCCUCGGCCUAAUCCUUCUUAUCACUAGUACCAGCACUUUUGUUUUUGUUUUCUAUUUAAUUGGAGAGAAGGAAAACGUGUUAAUUUAAUACAAAUAGUAAGUUAAUAAGCACCAAUAAACAAAGUUGGAGGGAGACCCUAACACAGGCAACCUGCCUGCAGCCAGGCAGCACCACCAUGCCAGAGUUCAGAGUUCCUUCCAGAAAUGCCAUGCCAUGGGUUCAGAUACGUGUGUAGGGGAGAGCUCAUAAAUGUCAGUGUAUGAACGCGCGGUAUGUGACCACCAGCUACCUAAAAUUGAGGACCACGUGGCUUUCAUUUACAGAUCUCUUUAUGUAAAACUCUCUUCCACUUCUUCCCUUAAAAAUGUGAGUGGGCUAGUUAAGGCUCCCAUUUGUGAAAGGUGAGCACUUAUCGAUAGGCUUCACCCUACUGUGUCAGCCAGUGGAGGGGGAAAGAAACAGGAAGAGCAGAGAGUGAUUCCUGAAAGACGGAAGUAACACCCUGUGAGCAGCAGAUGGAAACGUCAACUAGGACGAAUACGUUUAAGACACAGCCUUAACGAAAUAAGACUGGAAAGCUCUGGAACAGCCGCAAUCAGAGAAUAGGAAAGACUCUUAGAAUCAAAAUAAAGUAAGGGGAAAAUAAAAGAACUUCACAGGACAGUGUGAAGAUAAAGCUGAAAAAAAUCUCCCCAAAGUAGAUAAGACAAAGAAAUAGAAAAUAGGAGAUGGAAGAGGAGACUUGAGGAGUGUCAUCUAAGAGUUCAACAUCCAGUGAAUAGAAGUUCUGGGAAGAAAACAGACGAGGUGGGGAAAGUAAGCAUUAGCUAAGAAAUAAUAAGUGAAUUUUCCCUAGAAUUUCAGGGGAUGAGUUUCUGGAUUGACAUCACUUAUCGAUUACCCCGAACAAUGAAUGAAAAAAGACACAUGUUAAAUAAUAUGGGCACGACAUUUUCCCAUAAGAGGGAUGGAAACACAGUCCUAAAAUUCCCAGUGGAAAAAACCAGGUCCUGUAGAGAGGCUCAGGAAUCAGGAGUCAGCGGUGUCAGACUUGCCAAAGCAGAUGGUUAAGCAGAGGGAAAGCCCGGAGCAGCCCUGCCAGCCAGAGGAAGAGACCUCUCCACCCAGAUGAGAAGGGAACACUUUCCCAGGAAGGUAGGAGGUAGUCCAGCAAGACAAGGAGGAAAUCAAAGAAGCAGAGGACACGGACCCGGAAACAGGCUUACAGUAAUAUUUUUAUUCUUAGAAUAAUCUGAUGAUGGUGCUAUGCAAGUAUUAUGAUGGCAUGGGGCAUGGGGGGGGGGGUCCCUGCAAGGCGCUACCUUUUGGCUCCCCAUGGGAAGGAGCACUAGAUGGUGACAGAAAUAAGCAGGGGAAGACGGUCAGGUAAGCGUCAGGUAAGCUCAUUACUCG
RNAcentral lists this long non-coding RNA (2005 nucleotides) under Marmota monax (woodchuck). Lineage: Eukaryota; Metazoa; Chordata; Mammalia; Rodentia; Sciuridae. The record is from RNAcentral.